Molecule: ribosomal RNA, 610 nt
Filed under: Triticum aestivum (bread wheat)
Lineage: Eukaryota; Viridiplantae; Streptophyta; Magnoliopsida; Poales; Poaceae
Description: partial small subunit ribosomal RNA
Source: RNAcentral
CAUUUUCUUAUUUAUGUCAAAUUUUGCAACAAAUUUUUUUGCCUUACCAAUCAUGCGGUGUGGGUGCUCACCGGCGCUGGAGCUGAGGUUCUGCGAAUUCUUGUUUAGGGAUCCGAUGGAGAGCUCGGAUAUGGCAUCGCAGCCGUUGAGCGACAGGGUCACGCCGAAGCUCCUCCUCGGCUGCACGGAUUGCGUCACUGUCAUGCCGGGCGAGCCGCAGACUGGAUCCGGAAAGACAUAUACGACGGGUACCAAUUAUACUGGUGAAGCUGAUCGUGGAGGAAUAAUUGCACCUCUCAUGGAGAUGAUAUUCAGGAAAUCUGAUGCGAUGAACCGUCAUACAGAGUUCUUAAUUAGGGUAUCCUUCAUCGAGAUAUUCAAGGAGGAAGUAUUUGAUUUACUUGAUGAUCAUGGGUCUGUUGCAAAAGUGGCAGCGCCUGCUAGAGUGCCUAUUCAGAUUCGACAAAACUGCAAAUGGAAGCAUUACACUUGAUAGCGUGAUGGAGGCUAAGGUCAAGUCAAAAGAAGAUAUGGGCCAUAUGGCCAUGCACUUGGCACGAGGAUCUUCGUCACGCGCAACUGAAAGUACAAACAUACAUAGCCAGGCAAG